GAGUUUGAUCUUGGCUCAGAUUGAAUGCUGGCGGCAUGCCUUACGCAUGCAAGUCGAACGGCAGCACGGGAGCUUGCUCCUGGUGGCGAGUGGCGAACGGGUGAGUAAUGCAUCGGAACGUAUCCUGGAGUGGGGAUAACGUAGCGAAAGUUACGCUAAUACCGCAUAUUCUGUGAGCAGGAAAGCGGGGGACCUUCGGGCCUCGCGCUCUUGGAGCGGCCGAUGUCGGAUUAGCUAGUUGGUGAGGUAAAGGCUCACCAAGGCGACGAUCCGUAGCAGGUCUGAGAGGAUGAUCUGCCACACUGGAACUGAGACACGGUCCAGACUCCUACGGGAGGCAGCAGUGGGGAAUUUUGGACAAUGGGGGCAACCCUGAUCCAGCCAUGCCGCGUGAGUGAAGAAGGCCUCGGUUGUAAG
RNAcentral lists this ribosomal RNA (417 nucleotides) under bacterium enrichment culture clone ALO1_GLFRUDD03FRXXJ. Its description in RNAcentral is "bacterial SSU rRNA". It matches the Rfam family "Bacterial small subunit ribosomal RNA", at positions 9 to 429 of the family's 1533-position model. The record is from RNAcentral.